Molecule: ribosomal RNA, 301 nt
Filed under: uncultured bacterium
Lineage: Bacteria
Description: partial 16S ribosomal RNA
Rfam family: Bacterial small subunit ribosomal RNA
Source: RNAcentral
CAGCAGCCACGGUAAGACAGAGGAUGCAAGCGUUAUCCGGAAUUAUUGGGCGUAAAGGGCUCGCAGGCGGUUUCUUAAGUCUGAUGUGAAAGCCCCCGGCUCAACCGGGGAGGGUCAUUGGAAACUGGGAAACUUGAGUGCAGAAGAGGAGAGUGGAAUUCCACGUGUAGCGGUGAAAUGCGUAGAGAUGUGGAGGAACACCAGUGGCGAAGGCGACUCUCUGGUCUGUAACUGACGCUGAGGAGCGAAAGCGUGGGGAGCGAACAGGAUUAGAUACCCGGGUAGUCCCUGUCUCUUAUAC